CCUACGGGUGGCAGCAGUGGGGAAUAUUGCGCAAUGGGCGAAAGCCUGACGCAGCGACGCCGCGUGAGGGAAGACUGCCCUCUGGGUUGUAAACCUCUUUUAUAAGGGAAGAAUAAUGACUACGUGUAGUCAGAUGCCCGUACCUUAUGAAUAAGCAUCGGCUAACUCCGUUCCAGCCGCCGCGGUAAUGCGGGGGAUGCGAGCGUUGUCCGGAUUUAUUGGGGUUAACGGGUGCGUAGGCGGUAUUUUAAGUUAGUGGUAAAACGUCGGGGCUUCACCUUGAUUGGCAAUUAAAACUGGAGUACUAGAGUACAGACGAGGUAGGCAGAAUAAGUGAAGUAGCGGUGAAAUGCGUAGAGAUAACUUAGAACCCCGAUAGCGAAGGCAGCUUACCAGACUGUUACUGACGCUGAAGUACGAGAGCGUGGGUAGCGAACAGGAUUAGAUACCCCAGUAGUC
Molecule: ribosomal RNA, 459 nt
Filed under: uncultured bacterium
Lineage: Bacteria
Description: partial 16S ribosomal RNA
Rfam family: Bacterial small subunit ribosomal RNA
Source: RNAcentral